This 724-nucleotide long non-coding RNA is filed under the name Rhinopithecus bieti (black snub-nosed monkey). RNAcentral describes it as "lncRNA (ENSRBIG00000046213.1)". Lineage: Eukaryota; Metazoa; Chordata; Mammalia; Primates; Cercopithecidae. The record is from RNAcentral.
UAUAGUCUGCUUGGCCACUGAGGAAGAGAGAUUUGUUGCUAGCAACAAGUACUUAGAACGUGUGUGAUUUGGCAUGUCUCGAACUGUGAAGUAGAUGCAAUGCAGGCAAAAAAUUGAUGAUGCUACGGGGAGGGGCUGUGUAGGGUGUUAAUCGCCAUCUGCAGUGCCUGAAGGUGGGGUGGGGAGAAGUGAAGAAUCUCUUCCUUUUUAAUAGAUUUUCAAGAUGGGAAAAUCAUAUUGCAACCCACAGGCAUUUGGAAACAAUUUGUGCCGAAGACAGAAAGUACACCUAACGUUAAGCUGAAAAAACUGGACGCUCCCAGCAAACUCACUUUGCAGAUUCCUGGAUGUCAGAAGAAAAUGCCAGAGGAUUUCACUUGGCAUUGACCCCUUACUACUUCCAGCCACUUACCCUGGACAGUAGAAAGAAGGAACAGAAAGCAGGGUAGCUUAAGAGGAGGCUUUGUUACAGGGUCAACUUCUCGGUGCAUGGCUCCUUCCAGUCUGAUAAGAACCAUCCCUCAGCCUUCAGACGAACAGGUCCAGCUGUGCUCAAGCAGCAGCUGUAUCUCUUUAUCAGAGAGCUGCCGUCGGUCCAGAAACUAUUUUGAUAGUGCAAUAAUGAAGAUUGACUUCCUUCUAGAAAUGACAGUCUUUAACUGGUGAAUGACAGAGUCUGGUAAUUCUGGAAAGAGGCCUGUAGAUUGCCACUUGGGGAGUCCAG